GACGAACGCUGGCGGCGUGCUUAACACAUGCAAGUCGAACGCUGAAGCUCAGCUUUUGUUGGGUGGAUGAGUGGCGAACGGGUGAGUAACACGUGAGUAACCUGCCUCCUUCUUUGGGAUAACGCCCGGAAACGGGUGCUAAUACUGGAUAUUCACUGGUCUUCGCAUGGGGGUUGGUGGAAAGGGUUUUUCUGGUGGGGGAUGGGCUCGCGGCCUAUCAGCUUGUUGGUGGGGUGAUGGCCUACCAAGGCUUUGACGGGUAGCCGGCCUGAGAGGGUGACCGGUCACAGUGGGACUGAGAUACGGCCCAGACUACUACGGGGGGCAGAAGUGGGGAAUAUUGCACAAUGGGCGCAAGACUGAUGCAGCGACGCCGCGUGAGGGAUGGAGGCCUUCGGGUUGUGAACCUCUUUCGCUCAUGGUCAAGCCGCAACAAUGGUUGUGGUGAGGGUAGUGGGUAAAGAAGCGCCGGCUAACUACGUG
This 483-nucleotide ribosomal RNA is filed under the name uncultured bacterium. Its description in RNAcentral is "partial 16S ribosomal RNA". It matches the Rfam family "Bacterial small subunit ribosomal RNA", at positions 28 to 507 of the family's 1533-position model. The record is from RNAcentral.